GACGAACGCUGGCGGCGUGCUUAACACAUGCAAGUCGAACGGAAAGGCCCUGCUUUUGUGGGGUGCUCGAGUGGCGAACGGGUGAGUAACACGUGAGUAACCUGCCCUUGACUUUGGGAUAACUUCAGGAAACUGGGGCUAAUACCGGAUAGGAGCUCCUGCUGCAUGGUGGGGGUUGGAAAGUUUCGGCGGUUGGGGAUGGACUCGCGGCUUAUCAGCUUGUUGGUGGGGUAGUGGCUUACCAAGGCUUUGACGGGUAGCCGGCCUGAGAGGGUGACCGGCCACAUUGGGACUGAGAUACGGCCCAGACUCCUACGGGAGGCAGCAGUGGGGAAUAUUGCACAAUGGGCGGAAGCCUGAUGCAGCAACGCCGCGUGCGGGAUGACGGCCUCGGUUGUAACGACGUUCGUCCUCGUGACGAAGACGUGAGUGACGGUAAGUAGGGUAAAGGAAAAGA
Molecule: ribosomal RNA, 457 nt
Filed under: uncultured bacterium
Lineage: Bacteria
Description: bacterial SSU rRNA
Rfam family: Bacterial small subunit ribosomal RNA
Source: RNAcentral